AUGAAUGCAAGAUAUUUCCAUGACAGCAGAUACAGAUCCAUCACCCUCUUUUCAUGACUCUCUCCAAUUCUUUUUUCUUUUAAAGUAGGUUUAUUGGGGGGCGCCUGGGUGGCUCAGUUGGUUAAGCGUCCGACUUUGGCUCAGGUCAUGAUCUCAUGGUUCGUAGGUUCGAGCCCCACAUCAGGCUGUGUGCUGACAGCUCAGAGCCAGGAUCCUGCUUCGAAUUCAGUGUCUUCCUCUCUCUCUGCCCCUCCCCAGCUUGUGCUCUGUCUGUCUGUCUCUCUCUCUCUCUCUCAUAAAUAAACAUUAAAAAACUAAUAAGAUAGGUUUAUUAGGAUAUACUAUACAAAAACCAGCUCAUACUUAAAAUGUACAGUUUGAUGAGGUUGGACAUAUGUAUACAUCUGUGAAAUCAUCAUCAUGAUCAAGGUAAUAGACAUGUCACCUCCAAAAGGUUCCUUGUGUCCCUUUGGUUGUUUUUCUAAAAGCGCUUCACAUGAAAUGUCUCAAAAUUUUAAGUGCAUAAUACAGUAUUAUUAACUAUAGGUACAAUGUUUGUUGUAGAUCUUUAGAUCUACAACAGAUCUUUAGAACUAAUUCAGCCUGUGUAUCUGAAACUUUAUAUCAAUAGAAAAACUCCCCCUUAACCCUUUCUCUUGGUCCCUGGUAACCACAGUUCUAUUUUCUGAUUCUAUAAGUAUGAUGAUUUUAGGUACCUCGUGUAAGUGGAACCAUGCAGUAUUUGUCCUUCUGUGGCUGGCUUAUUUCACUUAGCAUAAUGUCCUUCAGGUUUACCUAUGUUGUUGCAAAUGGCAGGAUUUCCCCUUUAUUUUUUUUUUUUUUUUUACUUGUUAAAAUGUUUGUUUAUGUAUUCCGAGCAAGAGAGAGAACCAGCGAGAGCUGGAGAGAGCACGUGAGCAAACAGGGGAGGGGCAGAAAGAGAGGGACAGAGAGAAUCCUAAGCAGGCUCUGUGCUGUUGGCUCAGAGCCCUACCUGGGGCUCCAUCUUACAGACCAAACCGUGAGAUCAUGAUCUGAGCUGAAAUAAAGAGUCAGAUGCUUAACCAGCUGAGCCACCCAGGUGCCCCAGGAUUUGCCCUUCAAAGCGAAUAAGACACUACUGUGUUGAUGCAAAAUGAACAAACCUUUUUUUUCUUUUUUAAGUUUUAAAAGAACCGAGUUUUUUAUUCGAGCCCCAGUUUGGACAGCUGCCCCAGAUACACAAUCUUCACGAAGAAGAGAUCAUUCCAGGGAAGGAACAUUUGGUGCGGGGUUAUAUGUUUUGUGUUGUGUUGUGUUGUGUUGUUUUGUUUUACAUACUUACACAUCAUCAUGACAAAGGACAUUAUAGAAAGAGACUUUACCUAUGUUUUCAGUACGUGCAAGGCUGUGUGAAUUUAUCUUGUGGGAACCAGGGAGGUUUUUUUUUUUUUUCUUUUUUCUUAAUGUUUGGAAUGUUCUUUUCAUUGUUUUAGUGAAGCAGAUGUAUAGUGUUCUGGCCAGAAAUAGAGCUCAUGCUUCAAGAUUUUGCCGAGUCAUUUUGACCUUGGUAAAUGUUAAUGUUCCUUUAUUUCAUCAACUCUGUGAUGCAUGUAUAUAUAUUUAUUAAAAUAUACAUAUUUAUCAUAUUUUCUUUAUCCAUUUCUCUUCAAUGGACAUUUAGGUUAUUUCCAUAACUUGGCUAUUGUGGAUAGUGCUACAAGGAGCGUAAGAAUGCAGAUAGGUCUUUGAGAUCCUGAUUUCCAUUCUUUUGAGUCUCUAUACCCAGGAAUGAGAUUGUUGGAUCAUAGGAUAGUUCUAGUUUUAAUUUUUUGAGGGAGUUUCAUGCUGUUUUCUUUAGCGGCUUGCCAUUUUACAUUCCUAUCAACAGUGCGCAAGGGUCCAAUUUCGCCACAUUCUUGCCAACACUUUUUUUUUUUUUUUAAAUAACCAUGCUAACUGGUAUGAGGUGAUAUUUCAUUGUGGUUUUGAUUUGAAUUGCCCUCAUAAUUAGUGAUGUUGAGAAUCUUUUCUUAAAGUUUUUGGCCUCUUAAAGGAGAGAUCGUCAGGAAGAAGAUAGGAGCAAUCAGGGCAUUGCAAGUCUUGAUUAUACAAAGACAUUAAUCAUGGGAACUCAAAUCCUCAUGUUCCAAGCCCUCCCCCCAAAAGAAAGAACAGGACUGAAAUCAACAUCUUUGAACAUGAAACCUUGGGCAAGUGUGCAUGCUUUCUCGUAGGAAAGAUGUAGCAAAGUACAAGCUUGAUUAAAGCAGAUAAAGGGCUGAGUGUGGACACGUCUGGAAAAGAUGCUCCAGGAGGUAUCUCCAACUCCGUGUCCUCCGAGUGUCCUCCGUGGUUCCUGAGGUCCUGGCACACCAGAGGCCAGAUGCCCCAUGGCUGUAUUCGGCAGCCUCUAUCGCCACCAGGUAUCUCUUAGGGUAAGAGGUUGACUCAGAAUGCAGACGUGAGUAGGGCGGAUGGAGAAUCUGUGACAUUGGCACGGUUUAUUAAAUUGACCAUGGAUGACAGGGAUACGUGGAAUCUGGAGCUCUGUCUUUAUGGUUGUAAUAACCUAGAGUUGAUGUACUUGAAAAAAAAAUUCGGUGCUAGCCGUCCCCAGGUUAUCACACGAUCUGUAGCACAGUGUAAAUCACUACCCACUGGUGUAGCAUGGGGAGGAUUUGUGUUUCUAAGUUGCAUAUCUAGCCUAAGUGGCAACUGAGUGAGAGUAAUGUACAGUGAAGGGGACGAGAAAUUAGGUUUACUUGCCUGUAUUAGAAAUUUAAUAGAUGUUGUAUAUUCUCCUGUUAACAGUUUUUCCCCUUUUAUUUGUGACUGCUGCUUCAUCUUUUUCCACCAAUUGUAACACACCUUAUUCCUUGCCUCUCCUUCCACAUUUGCAUAAGGAAGUCUCAUAUCCACAGUCUUUAUAGAGCUCUGCUUUUUAUUUUCAGUCACUGCAUCUGUCAGAAGCAUAUUAUUAUCAGUUGGCCCAACCAACUGCAAUCGACCCCAGAAAUUGUGUCCCUUGAGGACAGAAAACUGGACACUGGUGGUCACGAAUAAUUGUAGAAGUUACAGCCUCCCUGUUUAAAAGCUUUUGUUCUGAAAUAAUGUAAGGCUUACAUAAAAAUUGCAGAACUAGUGCAGAACUAGUGCAGGGAGUUCCUGUGGCUCUUACAGCAAAGCUCAGUCGAACAAAACUGUUUACAUUGUGAUAGUUCAUUUACCAGAAUUCAUAAAUUUACAUUGAUAGAGUAGUAUUUAACUGCCGUCAAAUCCGGAUUUCACCAGACUCAAACAGGCAAUCGCUCCUUUUUGUUAGGUUUUGUUUUCUUUGGUGUGGUAUAUAACUAAAGACACUUUUUUCACUUGUAUAAAUCUGUAUGAAUCCUACCAGAAUACAGACACAGAAAUUCCUAAGAAACCCAGAGAAACUCCCUAUGUUCCUUCUUUUGGGGUUUAUUUUGUUUAUAUGUUUUCAUCAUGAUAAGUGUACUCUUUAAUCCCCAUCCUCUAUUUCGGCCAUCCCCCCACCCACCUCCCCUCUGGUAACCAUGUGUGUUCUCUAUGGUUAAGAGGCUAUUUCUUGGUUUGUCUCUUUUUUUCCUGUGCUCAUUUGUUUUGUUUCUAAAUUCUACAUGAGUGAGAUCAUAUGGUAUUUGUCUUCCUCUGACUUAUUUCACUUAGCAUGAUACUCUAGCUCCGUCUGUGUCAUUAGAGACGCAGGAUUUAAUUCCUUUUUAUGACUGAAUAAUGUUCCUGUGUGUGUGUCCCACAUCUUCUUUAUCCACUUAUCAGUCGAUGGACGUUUGGGCUGCUUCCAUAGUUUGGCUAUUGUAAAUAAUGCUGCAGUAAACAUCGGGGUGCGUGUAUCCCUUUGAUUUAGUAUAUUUAUAUUUUGGGGGUAAAUAUCCAGGAGGCUGAUUAUUGGACAAUGGGGAAGUUCUGUUUCUUAAUGUUCCUUCUUUAUAAUCCUUGGCAACCGCUGACCUACUCUAUGUUAGUAUCAUUUUUUUGAAAGUGUUAGACAAAUGGAAUUAAAAACUACAUAAUGUUAUGAAAUGAGCUUUUUCAGUUGGCAUAAUGUACUUGAGAGAUCCCCAAGUGGAGAGGAGAAAUACUAUAUCCCUUUUGCUUGCUGAAUGGGAUUCCCAGUACAACAGUUUAUCCCUUUAGCCAUUGAAGGAAACUGGAGUUCUCUGUAGUUGGGGCUAUUACAAAUACAGUUGUUAUGUUCAUUUGCGUAUGGUGUCUUGUGUGAACAUUUACUUUUAUUUCUCUAGGGUAAAUUUUCAGAAAGGGCUUGUUCUGUCAUACAGUAAGUAUAUGUUUAAUUUUUUUCUUUAAUGACCAUUAUAUUUUUGAGAGAGAGAGAGAGAGAGAGCACAGAAUCCGAAGCAGACUCCAGGCUCUGAGCUGUCAGCACAGAGCUCUACGUGGGACUCAAACUCACGAGCCAUGAGAUCAUGGCCUCAGCUGAAGUCGGAUGAUUAACCAACUGAGCCUCCCAGGUGCCCCAGUAUAUGUUUAACUUUAUAAGAAACUAGUAAAUCGAUUUCCAGAGAUCCUAGACCAUUUUACUUUCUCACCAUCAAUGAGUGACAAAUCCAGGUAACUGUUCCAUAUCCUCAUCAGCACUUGAGAUUUUCAGUAAUUUCUAUUUUACCUAUUCAAGUAGGUAUUUAGUAGUAUGGCAUCGUGGCUUAAAAUUACAUUCUACCAAUGGAUAAUGAUAUGUGUUUUUUCAUCUCCUUGUUUACAAUCCAUAUAUUCUCUUUGGUGAAUGGUGUGUUUAAGCCUUAGGCCCAUUUUCUUUCUUAAGUUCAUUUAUUCAUCUUGAGAGAGAGAGCAAGCACAGGGGAGGGGAGGAGAGAGAUGGAAAGAGAAUCCCAAGGAGGCUCUGCUCUGUCAGUGCAGAGCCCAAAGCAGGGCUCGAACUCACAAAUACACCUAAUUUCUAAUUAGAUUGUUUCUUACUGUUAAAUGUAGAGACCUUUUGGGAGGCGGGGGGAGGUGUGUGCAGGAAGAUGCAAAUAUUUGAUCACACAGGUGAUUUGCAAAGAUUUUCCCCCACUAUGCGGCGGAGGUGAGCUGUGCGUCUUAAAGAUGUUCGGUUCUGUAGCCUGCAAUAAAUGCAUAUGACAACAUCAACAGAGGAAAAAAUUUUUAAAGUUCUGCCCCUCUAUCUUCCCAGUGUGUCCGGGAUAACCAGUUCCGACUGCUUCAUUGUGUGAAGGUGAGAGAGCGCCAGCGACCACUGGUAUCAGUAUCCACGGGGUUAUGUACACACAUCUGAAACCUCCUUAGAGGUCAGUACGGCCCUUUAUUAUUAUUUCCAUGCAGUGUAAAUCACACUUAGUAAGGCUAGUAUUUUCUCAGCAAACUCGUGAGAUGGUGUAUAUAUACAGAUACAUGCAUUCUCACUAACACACAGAAUUGGUAGAUACUUGUGUGUGCCGUCGCGGUGAGACUUUAUAACCAAGAAGGUAGCUCUGACGGUGUGGUUCCUUUUGCUCAAAUGCAAAGCCAGUGUGCAUUACCAAGUCAGACACGAUGAAAAUAAUACAAGGACCGCUUCCUGGUGACCUUGUGGGCUGUUUCUGCACACAUGGAGCUAGGCUUUUGCCUGGACUUCAGAGAAGUGUAUUCUGUCGAGCACUUCUAUGGCCCUGUCAGCAAACUAGAUGUCACUACGGGUGGGAGGUUCCAUGGUGGCAGCAGCUGCCUGAGCCUGCUCUCCGGAUGACUCGCCUGGCUGUGAGCUUCAUGAAGGGCAGCUACUACCCCACUGAGGAGCAGAUCUAGAAUUCCUGAAUGUAAUGGGGGCGUAGGCUGGGAGGAGGCAUUUCUUUGGGAGUCCAGGAAGCUCACUACCAGAGAUUUGGUGCCGCAAGAGUACCUGGGGUACCGCCGGGUGCCGGCUAGAGAUCCACCAUGCCCCGAGCUCCUGAGGGGCCCGAGAGCCCAUGUGGAUACCGGAAAGAGUCAAGUCCUGGAGGUUUGAGGAAGGCCACUUACAGUGUCCACUGUUCCUUCCCAUAUCAAUCUCAUGAGGCUUUCCAAAGUGGUUUCUUCAGUUUUUGUAGUUUGUGGUUGAACACCGCCUCUCGGGGUUCCCUUCCCCACACACACCCCUUCCCUUCUCUAGCAGCACACCCCACCA
Molecule: long non-coding RNA, 6145 nt
Organism: Acinonyx jubatus (cheetah)
Lineage: Eukaryota; Metazoa; Chordata; Mammalia; Carnivora; Felidae
Exons: 3
Source: RefSeq, a predicted model, not a curated record